This 67-nucleotide transfer RNA is filed under the name Marmota monax (woodchuck). Its description in RNAcentral is "tRNA.Ala". It matches the Rfam family "tRNA", at positions 6 to 65 of the family's 71-position model. Rfam says of the family: Transfer RNA (tRNA) molecules are approximately 80 nucleotides in length. Their secondary structure includes four short double-helical elements and three loops (D, anti-codon, and T loops). The record is from RNAcentral. Lineage: Eukaryota; Metazoa; Chordata; Mammalia; Rodentia; Sciuridae.
GGAUGUAGCUUAAUGGUAGAGUAUGUGCUUUGCAUGCUUGAGGCACUGGGUUCGAUUCUCAGCACCA